GACGAACGCUGGCGGCGUGCUUAACACAUGCAAGUCGAACGGUGACGAGGAGCUUGCUCCUCUGAUCAGUGGCGAACGGGUGAGUAACACGUGAGCAACCUGCCCCAGACUCUGGGAUAACAGUUGGAAACAGCUGCUAAUACCGGAUACGAGACGGAGAGGCAUCUCUACCGUCUGGAAAGUUUUUCGGUCUGGGAUGGACUCGCGGCCUAUCAGCUAGUUGGUGAGGUAAUGGCUCACCAAGGCGACGACGGGUAGCCGGCCUGAGAGGGCGACCGGCCACACUGGGACUGAGACACGGCCCAGACUCCUACGGGAGGCAGUAGUGGGGAAUAUUGCACAAUGGGCGAAAGCCUGAUGCAGCGACGCCGCGUGAGGGAUGACGGCCUUCGGGUUGUAAACCUCUUUCAGCAGGGAAGAAGCGAAAGUGACGGUACCUGCAGAAGAAGCACCGGCUAACUACGUG
This 466-nucleotide ribosomal RNA is filed under the name uncultured bacterium. RNAcentral's name for it is "bacterial SSU rRNA". It matches the Rfam family "Bacterial small subunit ribosomal RNA", at positions 28 to 507 of the family's 1533-position model. The record is from RNAcentral.